This 426-nucleotide ribosomal RNA is filed under the name uncultured bacterium. Its description in RNAcentral is "bacterial SSU rRNA". It matches the Rfam family "Bacterial small subunit ribosomal RNA", at positions 354 to 796 of the family's 1533-position model. The record is from RNAcentral.
GUGAGGAAUUUUCCGCAAUGGGCGAAAGCCUGACGGAGCAAUGCCGCGUGAAGGAUGAAGGCCUAUGGGUUGUAAACUUCUUUUCUCAGAAAAGAAUUAUGACGGUAUCUGAGGAAUAAGCAUCGGCUAACUCUGUGCCAGCAGCCGCGGUAAGACAGAGGAUGCAAGCGUUAUCCGGAAUGAUUGGGCGGAAAGCGUCUGUAGGUUGUUUAAAAAGUAUUCUGUCAAAGAUUAGGGCUUAACCCUAGAUAGGCAGAAUAAACUUUUAAGCUAGAGUUUGGUAGAGGCAGAGGGAAUUCCCGGUGGAGCGGUGAAAUGCGUAGAUAUCGGGAGGAACACCAAAGGCGAAGGCACUCUGCUGGGCCAAUACUAACACUGAGAGACGAAAGCGAGGGGAGCAAAUGGGAUUAGAAACCCUGGUAGUCC